RNAcentral lists this long non-coding RNA (1421 nucleotides) under Panax ginseng (ginseng). Its description in RNAcentral is "long non-coding RNA (PGIN_LNC004677)". The record is from RNAcentral. Lineage: Eukaryota; Viridiplantae; Streptophyta; Magnoliopsida; Apiales; Araliaceae.
UCUCUCAUCUGAACAAAUUUGGAUAAUCUAUAAAUUGGAUCUUGUAGAGGAAAUAGCAGAAUACAAUUACCAAUAAUCAUAACAUUUAAACAACAUCAGAUCCGGGAGAAAUCAGCCAUCAAAGUAGCAUCCAAAGCUGUUCUUCACGAAGAACAGUUUGAGGUGCCUACUUUGGACCUCUAUAACUUGAUGAUCGUGAAAUUUUUACGUGAUCUAUCAAUUCAAGUGUGUAGAAAACAUGUAGGACUACAAUGCUAACACUUAACAUCAUCAUAACAACAAGAAAUCAAGCAGAUAAAGUAUGGUCAAACCUUGUCAGAAAAAUCAACACUUAGAAAAUUCUGGGCUGCCCAGAAUUUUCCGGUCAAUGCCGGUCAACCCACUUUGACCUUAAAUAACUCUUAAUCCAUAAUAUAUAUGGACCUGAUUCUUUUUGGAGGUUAAAUACCACAUAACAAGCUACACAUAUCAACCUUUAUAACACAAAACACAUUAAAGAUGACCGAGAUAUAAGGCCUGACAUUUGCCAAAAAAAAAUUUCUGGACACUUAGAAUAUUUUCUGGGUUUGAAAAACAGCCGGUCAAUGCCGGUCAACCCACUUUGACCGCUUAUAAAUCCCGAUCUACAAUAGAUAUAGACCUGAUUCCUUUUGGAGUUUAAAGACCACAUAACAAGCUACACCUAACAACUUUUAAACAACAAAAACAGUAAAUAAUCACAGAGAUAUAAGUCUUGACAUUUGCCCAAAAAUCACAGAAUUCGGUUUUUCCAACUUGCUCAAAUCUUCAAAUUCGUGCACUUUGAUGUUAUGGGUUCAUGAUUUUACAACCCAGAACAUUAAUAGACUCCCUAUUACACUACUUUAAACAAUCAAUUGCAUCAAUUAACAUCGAAUCGAAGGAUUUCAAAAUUAGGGAAUUUCAUACCUUUUCUAGCUUCGAUUUUUGAUUUUUUUCUGGCUUUAAUGCUUCUGAUUUGUUGUUUAUGAUGGCUGGGCUUUGAUUAGGAGCUUAUGGGCAAGAUAAUUUCGUUGGUAAGAGCUUGAGAGAGUAAAGCUAGGUGUUUGCUAUAAUUUUAGUGUACAAAUGAGUUUAAUCUCUUCCUAAUUUAUAGAAUUGAUUGAAUCAAUCAAUGUAAGGGCUGAUAAUUGAUGGUGUAAUGACAUAGAAGCAUAAGUAAAUUCUAGAAUAUGGUAGGUGGCUAGAUUUUGUGAACAAGUGGUAGCAAUAAGACAUAAAUAAUGCAUUUUCCCUUUUCUUUAAUUAAUUAUUUUUUUAAAUACAUUGGAUGCUAAAGUGGGAUGAUUCCCUUGUUUGAUAGUUGAUAGCAUGUAGGGUAAGCAUGUUGGGCAUCCUUGUUGCAAGAUCCCAUCAACAAUGUAAGUAAUAAUACACUAAAAUGACAAAAAGGGUAUUUUGGU